GGCGGCUUAGCACAGUGGUAGUGCAUCAGUCUUGUAGGCAGUAAUGCUGAGAUAACUGAGGGUCGAGGGUUCAAUUCCCUCAGUCGCCU
This is a transfer RNA of Naegleria gruberi, 89 nucleotides long. It matches the Rfam family "tRNA". Rfam says of the family: Transfer RNA (tRNA) molecules are approximately 80 nucleotides in length. Their secondary structure includes four short double-helical elements and three loops (D, anti-codon, and T loops). The record is from Rfam. NCBI's taxonomy places the organism in Eukaryota, Heterolobosea, Eutetramitea, Acrasida, Naegleriidae.